AUCGCUUCUCGGCCUUUUGGCUAAGAUCAAGUGUAGUAUCUGUUCUUAUCAGUAUCUUGUCGGACGGUUGAGACUGCGAUCGCCUCUUGGAGGUUUCCUGACUCGAGAUCCCUU
This 114-nucleotide small nuclear RNA is filed under the name Carassius auratus (goldfish). RNAcentral describes it as "U2 spliceosomal RNA (ENSCARG00000036950.1)". It matches the Rfam family "U2 spliceosomal RNA". Rfam says of the family: U2 is a small nuclear RNA (snRNA) component of the spliceosome (involved in pre-mRNA splicing). Complementary binding between U2 snRNA (in an area lying towards the 5' end but 3' to hairpin I) and the branchpoint sequence (BPS) of the intron results the bulging out of an unpaired adenosine, on the BPS, which initiates a nucleophilic attack at the intronic 5' splice site, thus starting the first of two transesterification reactions that mediate splicing. Lineage: Eukaryota; Metazoa; Chordata; Actinopteri; Cypriniformes; Cyprinidae. The record is from Rfam by way of RNAcentral.